CGUGAUAAGGGGACACCGAGUGCCAGCAUCAUAUGCUGGCUGUCCAGGUGUGCAAAAUACACCUGUUAGCAAGGGCCGGGCAAGACCGGUGCCAGCCGCCGCGGUAACACCGGCGGCCCGAGUGGUGAUCGUGAUUAUUGGGUCUAAAGGGUCCGUAGCCGGUUUGGUCAGUCCUCCGGGAAAUCUGACAGCUUAACUGUUAGGCUUUCGGAGGAUACUGCCAGACUUGGAACCGGGAGAGGUAAGAGGUACUACAGGGGUAGGAGUGAAAUCUUGUAAUCCCUGUGGGACCACCUGUGGCGAAGGCGUCUUACCAGAACGGGUUCGACGGUGAGGGACGAAAGCUGGGGGCACGAACCGGAUUAGAUACCCGGGUAGUCCCAGCCGUAAACGAUGCUCGCUAGGUGUCAGGCAUGGCGCGACCGUGUCUGGUGCCGCAGGGAAGCCGUGAAGCGAGCCACCUGGGAAGUACGGCCGCAAGGCUGAAACUUAAAGGAAUUGGCGGGGGAGCAC
This 513-nucleotide ribosomal RNA is filed under the name uncultured archaeon. RNAcentral describes it as "bacterial SSU rRNA". It matches the Rfam family "Archaeal small subunit ribosomal RNA", at positions 366 to 879 of the family's 1478-position model. The record is from RNAcentral.